This 32-nucleotide non-coding RNA is filed under the name unclassified sequences. RNAcentral describes it as "L31-Coriobacteria ribosomal protein leader". It matches the Rfam family "L31-Coriobacteria ribosomal protein leader". The record is from RNAcentral.
CGUCUGGUCGGAAACCAGACCUACCAAAGGAG